RNAcentral lists this ribosomal RNA (280 nucleotides) under uncultured bacterium. RNAcentral describes it as "partial 16S ribosomal RNA". It matches the Rfam family "Bacterial small subunit ribosomal RNA", at positions 338 to 609 of the family's 1533-position model. The record is from RNAcentral.
CCUACGGGGGGCAGCAGUGGGGAAUUGUUCGCAAUGGGCGCAAGCCUGACGACGCAACGCCGCGUGGAGGACGAAGAUCUUCGGAUCGUAAACUCCUGUCGAGCGGGACGAACGGUCCGCGACCCAACACGUCGCGGGAGUGACGGUACCGCUAAAGGAAGCCCCGGCUAACUCCGUGCCAGCAGCCGCGGUAAUACGGGGGGGGCCAGCGUUGUUCGGAAUUACUGGGCGUAAAGGGCGCGUAGGCGGCCACCGAAGUCGGACGUGAAAUCCCUCGGCU